AGAAAUGGAAAUGAUUACCGAUUAGCAAGUGUCAAUCAAGAAGCUCUGCUGUUCCGGUCUAACAAUUAUGUAGUAGUCUGCGAUAUUGAUGCUGGUAUAAGUGCCAAGACAUUGUUUGUGUAUAUGUUAUCCGAUGAUCUUCCUUCUGUGUUUAUAUAAAAAAAUUCAUUAGUUAGGGCCUGUGUUGUAAAAAUGCGGUCUGCUUGUCCCUGACUAUAAUAAUUUCAUUGAGAUCAAAGUUCUGCUACCCUCAUUUUAGAGAUGAAAUUUCGGUGAUAUGCUAUGCUAUGCCACUCAAGGAUGGGUUGCUGGUUUGAAUAUCAACGCAACGGUGUGCUAAUCACGACCUUUGAUGGAGUUUAGGCUUGUGCUGCUGUGCUCCUGGUGAGA
This 390-nucleotide long non-coding RNA is filed under the name Glycine max (soybean). Its description in RNAcentral is "long non-coding RNA (GMAX_LNC001196)". Lineage: Eukaryota; Viridiplantae; Streptophyta; Magnoliopsida; Fabales; Fabaceae. The record is from RNAcentral.